UACGAAGGGGGCUAGCGUUGUUCGGAGUUACUGGGCGUAAAGGGCGCGUAGGCGGCCCUUCAAGUCGGGCGUGAAAGCCCACGGCUCAACCGUGGAAUUGCGCUCGAGACUGGAGAGCUCGAGGAUGGGAGAGGAUGGUGGAAUUCCGAGUGUAGAGGUGAAAUUCGUAGAUAUUCGGAAGAACACCAGUGGCGAAGGCGACUCACUGGACACGUAUUGACGCUGAGGUGCGAAAGCGUGGGGAGCAAACAGG
Molecule: ribosomal RNA, 253 nt
Filed under: uncultured bacterium
Lineage: Bacteria
Description: partial 16S ribosomal RNA
Rfam family: Bacterial small subunit ribosomal RNA
Source: RNAcentral